GCGUAAGCUAAUUGUAUUAAUUAAUACAAUAUCNAUUAUGUCGGAUAAAGUUCUAGAUAGAAUAAUGAUAAUGACAAUUUUCUAUCUAUAUGUCUUGGCCAAAUCUCGUGCCAUCAUCCGCGGUAAUACGAGGAAGACUAGUGUUAUUCGUCUUNANCAGGUUUAAAGGGUACCUAGACGGUACUUUUAGCCCAAAACAGGGGACGGAUUUACUANAGUUUUAUGUGAGAAGGGGAAUACUCUUGGAGUAGAGAUGAAAUUAUGUAAUACUAUGGGGUAACUGGUANAGGCGAAAGCNACCG
This 302-nucleotide ribosomal RNA is filed under the name Candelariella ruzgarii. RNAcentral describes it as "SSU rRNA". Lineage: Eukaryota; Fungi; Ascomycota; Candelariomycetes; Candelariales; Candelariaceae. The record is from RNAcentral.